CAGUCGCCGCGGUAACACGGAGGGAGCUAGCGUUGUUCGGAAUUACUGGGCGUAAAGCGCGCGUAGGCGGUUACUCAAGUCAGAGGUGAAAGCCCGGGGCUCAACCCCGGAACUGCCUUUGAAACUAGGUGACUAGAAUCUUGGAGAGGUCAGUGGAAUUCCGAGUGUAGAGGUGAAAUUCGUAGAUAUUCGGAAGAACACCAGUGGCGAAGGCGACUGACUGGACAAGUAUUGACGCUGAGGUGCGAAAGCGUGGGGAGCAAACAGGAUUAGAUACCCGGGUAGUCCCUGUCUCUUAUAC
This 301-nucleotide ribosomal RNA is filed under the name uncultured bacterium. RNAcentral describes it as "partial 16S ribosomal RNA". It matches the Rfam family "Bacterial small subunit ribosomal RNA", at positions 509 to 807 of the family's 1533-position model. The record is from RNAcentral.